UACAGAGGUGGCAAGCGUUGUUCGGAAUUACUGGGCGUAAAGGGCGCGUAGGCGGUUCGAUAAGUCCUGUGUGAAAUCCCUCGGCUCAACUGAGGAACUGCACGGGAGACUGUCGGGCUUGAGUUCGGGAGAGGGAAGCGGAAUUCCGGGUGUAGCGGUGAAAUGCGUAGAUAUCCGGAGGAACACCGGUGGCGAAGGCGGCUUCCUGGACCGACACUGACGCUGAGGCGCGAAAGCGUGGGGAGCAAACAGG
Molecule: ribosomal RNA, 253 nt
Filed under: uncultured bacterium
Lineage: Bacteria
Description: partial 16S ribosomal RNA
Rfam family: Bacterial small subunit ribosomal RNA
Source: RNAcentral